AAAGUUUGAUCCUAGCUCAGGAUGAGUGCUGGCGGCAUGCUUAACACAUGCAAGUUGGAUGGGAAGUGGUGUUUCCAGUGGCGGACGAGUGAGUAAUGCAUAAGAACCUACCCUUGGGAGGGGAACAAUAGUUGGAAAUGACUGCUAAUACCCCAUAGGCUGAGGUACAAAAGGAGGAAUCCGCCCGAGGAAGGGCUCGUGUCUGAUUAGCUAGUUGGUGAGGCAAUAGCUUACCAAGGCGACGAUCAAUAGCUGGUCCAAGAGGAUGAUCAGCCACACUGAGACUGAGACACAGCCUAGAUUCCUACAGGAGGCAGCAGUGGGGAAUUUUCCACAAUGGAUGAAAGCCUGAUGGAGCACUACCCGAUUGAGGUAGAAGGCUUAUGGGUCGUGAACUUCUUUUCCCAGAGAAGAAACAAUGAUGGUAUCUGGGGAAUAAGCAUUGGCUAACUCUGUGCCAGCAGCCGUGGUAAUACAGAGGAUGUAAGCAUUAUCUAGAAUGAUUUGGUGUAAAAUGUUUGUAGGUGGCUUUUUAAGUCUGCCGUUAAAUUCCAAGGCUUAACCCUAGAAAAGCGAUGGAAACAACCAAGCUGGAGUAUGGUAGGGGUAGAGGGAAUUUUUCGUGGAGCAGUGAAAUGCAUAGAGAUCGAAAAGAACACCAAUGGUGAAAGCACUCUGUUAGGCCCGGCACUAACACUAACCCUAGUAGUCCUAGCCGUAAACAAUGGAUACUAGGCAUUGUGCAUAUCGACCCAUGCAGUGCUGUAGCUAAUGCAUUAAGUAUCCCGCCUGGGAAGUACGUUCGCAAUAAUGAAACUCAAAAAAAUUGACAGGGGCUCGUACAAGUAGUGAAGCACGUGGUUUAAUUCGAUGCAAAAUGAAGAGCCUUACCAGGGCUUGACUGAUGGAAUUUGGUGUAGGUUUAUGUUGUUGUACCCUAGAGCACAAUCAUUCAAGGUGUUAGUCAAGAAUGAUUGUUGUUGGUUCUUGGUUCUUGAUUUUGUUUUUUGGGUUUGUUAAGGUUUUGUUUCUGGUUUUUAAUGGAGGUUUGGGUUUCUUGAGAAGGUUGUUAGCUUUUGGGAAGAAGAAGGAAACAAAUGUAGUAGUUGAGAGAGAGAGAGAGAGCCAAAAUUGUUGUUUUUCAAAAUUUUUGAAUAUUACUUCCUCAACGUUUUUCAUUUCAAUUUUUAUACUUUUAAAUACAUCAAAAAGAUAAUAAGACAUGCUGCCAUAUUGAGCAAUAAAUACAAAAGCAUUAAAAGUAACCAACCAAGCCAAAUUACCUCAACUA
This 1291-nucleotide ribosomal RNA is filed under the name Ziziphus jujuba (common jujube). RNAcentral describes it as "bacterial SSU rRNA". It matches the Rfam family "Bacterial small subunit ribosomal RNA", at positions 8 to 1197 of the family's 1533-position model. Lineage: Eukaryota; Viridiplantae; Streptophyta; Magnoliopsida; Rosales; Rhamnaceae. The record is from RNAcentral.